Small nucleolar RNA from Ochotona princeps (American pika), 108 nucleotides. The record is from Ensembl. NCBI's taxonomy places the organism in Eukaryota, Metazoa, Chordata, Mammalia, Lagomorpha, Ochotonidae.
AUAGUCUUGUGGUUCAUCAAUGUUUUGAUUUGGCUUUUAUACUGUUGUGUGAGAGAGAUGUGUCUCCUUCUAACCCUGUUAAAACAUCAACACAUUACCUAUCUGGCU